UACCCGCUGGAAUUAAGCAUAUCAAUAAGCGGAGGAAAAGAAACCAACAGGGAUUGCCUCAGUAACGGCGAGUGAAGCGGCAACAGCUCAAAUUUGAAAUCUGGCCCUAGGCCCGAGUUGUAAUUUGGAGGAUGCUUUUGGUGCGGUGCCUUCCAAGUUCCCUAGAACGGGACGCCAGAGAGGGUGAGAGCCCCGUACAGUUGGACACCAAGCCUUUGUAAAGCUCCUUCGACGAGUCGAGUAGUUUGGGAAUCGCUCAAAAUGGGAGGUAUAUUUCUUCUAAAGCUAAAUACCGGCCAGAGACCGAUAGCGCACAAGUAGAGUGAUCGAAAGAUGAAAAGCACUUUGAAAAGAGGGUUAAACAGCACGUGAAAUUGUUAAGGGAAGCGCUUGUGACCAGACUUGCGUCCGGUGAAUCACCCAGCUCUCGCGGCUGGGGCACUUCGCCGGCUCAGGCCAGCAUCAGCUCGCUGUCGGGGACAAAAGCUUCAGGAACGUAGCUCUCUCGGGAGUGUUAUAGCCUGUUGCAUAAUACCCUUCGGCGGGCUGAGGUACGCGCUCCGCAAGGAUGCUGGCAUAAUGGUCAUCAGCGACCCGUCUUGAAACACGGGACCAAGGA
This 619-nucleotide ribosomal RNA is filed under the name Colletotrichum siamense. Its description in RNAcentral is "eukaryotic LSU rRNA". It matches the Rfam family "Eukaryotic large subunit ribosomal RNA", at positions 22 to 672 of the family's 3401-position model. The record is from RNAcentral. Lineage: Eukaryota; Fungi; Ascomycota; Sordariomycetes; Glomerellales; Glomerellaceae.